AAAUUUUAUGUUGAAAUUUAAAAGUUAGAACAUGAUGCAUUUUUUUGAAUAAAGGAGCUCAAGAAUGGUGAAAGUUUUUUUCCUUUGGUUAGAGUGGAUUAUACUUUUACUCUAUUUUUUGGAGUAUAGUUUAACUAUACUCCAAAAAUUACGUUACUUUUUUCCUCCCAAAUGCUUCAUAGGAUAUUUUUUCUACCGCCGUAGCAUAGUUUAACUAUGCUACAUUUUUCAGAGUAUCCAAACGGGGCCUAAAUAAGCAGGACUUUAUUGGAGUUGAUGU
Molecule: long non-coding RNA, 280 nt
Filed under: Ananas comosus (pineapple)
Lineage: Eukaryota; Viridiplantae; Streptophyta; Magnoliopsida; Poales; Bromeliaceae
Description: long non-coding RNA (ACOM_LNC030867)
Source: RNAcentral